RNAcentral lists this unclassified non-coding RNA (457 nucleotides) under Hevea brasiliensis (rubber tree). Lineage: Eukaryota; Viridiplantae; Streptophyta; Magnoliopsida; Malpighiales; Euphorbiaceae. The record is from RNAcentral.
UUGUUCAGUAUCUCAGACUAUGUACCAUCCUCUUUCUUACAACUAAAUUUACAUUUCUGCAGCGAAGGAUUUACCACAACCGCAUGUCUGCGUUGCAUUGGGGUUCUUGAACGAAAAGCCUCCGCCAAUUAGCGCGCUGCUGAAAUCAAGCUGCAUACCAUAGAUGUAGAGAAGGCUCUUGGGAUCACAAACUAUAGCAAAUCCAUCGUAUUCAAUAACAGAGUCAUCAGGUCUUGCAUUUGCUCGAUUCUCAAACUCCAUAGUAUAGGACAUGCCAGAGCAGCCCCCUUGUUUGACGCCAAUUCUUAAGCAAAGGUCUUCAUUCUUCUCAAUCCUCAUCUUAUUUAGAUGGUCCAGCGCCUUGUCAGUCACAGAAAUUGCGGGGGCAAUACUCCCAGAUGUAGGUGCUGUGGCGGAGCUGCUGCAUCGGACGGAGAGGGACUUGAUCCGAGUGAGA